RNAcentral lists this ribosomal RNA (253 nucleotides) under uncultured bacterium. Its description in RNAcentral is "partial 16S ribosomal RNA". It matches the Rfam family "Bacterial small subunit ribosomal RNA", at positions 524 to 776 of the family's 1533-position model. The record is from RNAcentral.
UACGUAGGGGGCAAGCGUUGUCCGGAUUUAUUGGGCGUGAAGAGCGUGUAGGCGGCCAUACAGGUCAGCUGUGAAAACUCGAGGCUCAACCUCGAGACGUCGGUUGAAACCGUAUGGCUAGAGUCCGGAAGAGGAGAGUGGAGUUCCCGGUGUAGCGGUGAAAUGCGCAGAUAUCGGGAAGAACACCCGUGGCGAAGGCGGCUCUCUGGGACGGUACUGACGCUGAGACGCGAAAGCGUGGGGAGCGAACAGG